This 254-nucleotide long non-coding RNA is filed under the name Elaeis guineensis (African oil palm). Its description in RNAcentral is "long non-coding RNA (EGUI_LNC017181)". The record is from RNAcentral. Lineage: Eukaryota; Viridiplantae; Streptophyta; Magnoliopsida; Arecales; Arecaceae.
AUGCCCAUCUGAAAUUUAGAUAUGAAGCCAAUGCCUCAUUCUCUAGUUGCUCAUUGAAUGUUUCUCACCUACCUCCUCUAUCGUGUCAAUCUUUGCUGCCCCCGGUCACUUCAAAUCCCAAUUGAUCACACCUUGUGAUAUUCUUUCCUUCCCUAUCUUUCUCUUAAAUGAAUGUUUGUUUAUAGGUUCUCUAUUGAAUCCCUUAAGAUCAGCCAAAGAAAAUAGACGGCUGAUUUUAUUAUGAGCAAUGAUUA